AGUGAACGCUGGCGGUAUGCCUAACACAUGCAAGUCGAGCGGCAGCACAGUAAGAGCUUGCUCUUACGGGUGGCGAGUGGCGGACGGGUGAGGAAUACAUCGGAAUCUACUUUUUCGUGGGGGAUAACGUAGGGAAACUUACGCUAAUACCGCAUACGACCUACGGGUGAAAGCAGGGGAUCUUCGGACCUUUCGCGAUUGAAUGAGCCGAUGUCGGAUUAGCUAGUUGGCGGGGUAAAGGCCCACCAAGGCGACGAUCCGUAGCUGGUCUGAGAGGAUGAUCAGCCACACUGGAACUGAGACACGGUCCAGACUCCUACGGGAGGCAGCAGUGGGGAAUAUUGGACAAUGGGCGAAAGCCUGAUCCAGCCAUACCGCGUGGGUGAAGAAGGCCUUCGGGUUGUAAAGCCCUUUUGUUGGGAAAGAAAAGCAGCAGGUUAAUACCCCGAUGUUCUGACGGUACCCAAAGAAUAAGCAACGGCUAACUUCGUG
RNAcentral lists this ribosomal RNA (492 nucleotides) under uncultured bacterium. RNAcentral's name for it is "partial 16S ribosomal RNA". It matches the Rfam family "Bacterial small subunit ribosomal RNA", at positions 29 to 507 of the family's 1533-position model. The record is from RNAcentral.